ACCUGCGGAGGAUCAUUACCGAGUGCAGGUCUGCCCCCGGGCAGGCCUAACCUCCCACCCGUGAAUACCUGACCAACGUUGCUUCGGCGGUGCGCCCCCCCGGGGGUAGCCGCCGGAGACCACAUUGAACCUCUUGUCUUUAGUGUUGUCUGAGCUUGAUAGCAAACCUAUUAAAACUUUCAACAAUGGAUCUCUUGGUUCCGGCAUCGAUGAAGAACGCAGCGAACUGCGAUAAGUAAUGUGAAUUGCAGAAUUCAGUGAAUCAUCGAGUCUUUGAACGCACAUUGCGCCCCCUGGCAUUCCGGGGGGCAUGCCUGUCCGAGCGUCAUUGCUGCCCUUCAAGCCCGGCUUGUGUGUUGGGUCGUCGUCCCCCCCGGGGGACGGGCCCGAAAGGCAGCGGCGGCACCGCGUCCGGUCCUCGAGCGUAUGGGGCUUUGUCACCCGCUCGAUUAGGGCCGGCCGGGCGCCAGCCGGCGUCUCCAACCUUCUAUUUUACCAGGUUGACCUCGGAUCAGGUAGGGAUACCCGCUGAACUUAAGCAUAUCAA
This 547-nucleotide ribosomal RNA is filed under the name Aspergillus fumigatus. RNAcentral describes it as "eukaryotic LSU rRNA". The stretch from base 175 to 328 matches the Rfam family "5.8S ribosomal RNA". The record is from RNAcentral. Lineage: Eukaryota; Fungi; Ascomycota; Eurotiomycetes; Eurotiales; Aspergillaceae.